UAGCCGAAGCCGGAGACAUGGCGACCAGC
Molecule: small RNA, 29 nt
Filed under: Bombyx mori (domestic silkworm)
Lineage: Eukaryota; Metazoa; Arthropoda; Insecta; Lepidoptera; Bombycidae
Description: ovarian small RNA-22358
Source: RNAcentral